Molecule: non-coding RNA, 148 nt
Filed under: Licmophora paradoxa
Lineage: Eukaryota; Bacillariophyta; Fragilariophyceae; Licmophorales; Licmophoraceae
Source: RNAcentral
GCCGGCCAGCAACAACAACAACAACAACAACGAACACGUCGAUGACGUUUGGGAGACACUGGCGGGGUGCGGUUCCCUCCGAGAACUGCAUUUAAUGGACAACGAAUUGACGGAUCGUUCCUGCUUGGAUUUGGCACAGGCCUUGUUG